Molecule: ribosomal RNA, 253 nt
Filed under: uncultured bacterium
Lineage: Bacteria
Description: partial 16S ribosomal RNA
Rfam family: Bacterial small subunit ribosomal RNA
Source: RNAcentral
UACGAAGGGGGCUAGCGUUGUUCGGAAUUACUGGGCGUAAAGGGCUCGUAGGCGGCCAACUAAGUCAGACGUGAAAUCCCUCGGCUUAACUGGGGAACUGCGUCUGGGACUGGAUGGCUUGAGUGCAGGAGAGGAACGCGGAAUUCCAGGUGUAGCGGUGAAAUGCGUAGAUAUCUGGAGGAACACCGGUGGCGAAGGCGGCGUUCUGGACUGCAACUGACACUGAGGAACGAAAGCCAGGGGAGCAAACGGG